AGCAUCGUGGACGACUAGAAAAGUCGCUGUGCCUCUCAAGCACGGAGAAGCGGGUGCAAUUCCCGUCGAUGCUUCCA
Molecule: transfer RNA, 77 nt
Filed under: Phormidium sp. FACHB-592
Lineage: Bacteria; Bacillati; Cyanobacteriota; Cyanophyceae; Oscillatoriales; Oscillatoriaceae
Also listed under: 1 other name
Description: tRNA-Glu
Source: RNAcentral